CAGCUGACUUACCGUAUGGCUGUCCCUGCAGGUCGUACUGCUGCAUGCGGUACACCGUGAACUCAUGUGCCGCCUCGGCCGGGAGCGGUGACACUAGGAUCAGUACCGCGGGGAUAAACACAAUAAAGCACUCCUGGGAAUGUCCUGAAUCAGACCAGCUUUUGCUCCCGACCCCCGGCCGCAGAAAAACACUUUCUCUGUGCGACCACACAAAAGGUGCAGUCAGUGUGUGUGUGGAGGAUGCUGUCAUUUUCUCACCACAUCGUAGGGCUGCUGAAACACUUGCCACACUGACGUGUUUAAACCGCUCAACAACAAGAUUUACAGCACGGAGCAGCAGUUGGAGCCACCGGCCGCCAUGUCUCUACCUCCAAGCGACAUCAUUAGGAUGUCCCUGCUACUGUACUGCAAGUGUUUUCUUUUUAACUCCGUUGUUCACAUAUUCUGUGGUGCAGUAGUGCCAUUAAAUUCUGAUUUUUAACUAU
Scatophagus argus is the source of this 485-nucleotide long non-coding RNA. RefSeq lists it as uncharacterized. Lineage: Eukaryota; Metazoa; Chordata; Actinopteri; Scatophagidae. The record is from RefSeq and is a predicted model, not a curated record. The transcript has 4 exons.